Molecule: non-coding RNA, 21 nt
Filed under: Caenorhabditis elegans
Lineage: Eukaryota; Metazoa; Nematoda; Chromadorea; Rhabditida; Rhabditidae
Source: RNAcentral
UCAUCUCGAAACUAAUGAAGG